Molecule: non-coding RNA, 944 nt
Filed under: Eutaeniophorus festivus (festive ribbonfish)
Lineage: Eukaryota; Metazoa; Chordata; Actinopteri; Beryciformes; Cetomimidae
Description: 12S rRNA
Rfam family: Bacterial small subunit ribosomal RNA
Source: RNAcentral
CGAAGGCUUGGUCCUGACUUCACUAUCAACUUCAACUAAACUUAUACAUGCAAGUCUCCGCACUCCUGUGAAAAUGCCCUUAUCCCCCCGCCCGGGAAUAAGGAGCUGGCAUCAGGCACGCACCUGCAGCCCAAGACGCCUUGCUUAGCCACACCCCUAAGGGAACUCAGCAGUAAUAGAUAUUAAGCCAUAAGUGAAAACUCGACUUAGCUAAAGUAAAUUAGGGCCGGUUAAACUCGUGCCAGCUACCGCGGUUAUACGAGAGGCCCAAGCUGAUAUAUACGGCGUAAAGAGUGGUUAAGGAAAACCUAAACUAAAGCGGAACCCCCCCAAGGCUGUUAUACGCACCCGGGGGAGAGAAAACCCACCACGAAAGUGGCUUUAAUAACCCCGAAUCCACGAAAGCUAUGUCACAAACUGGGAUUAGAUACCCCACUAUGCCUAGCCCUAAACAUUGAUGGCACCCUACCCCGCCAUCCGCCCGGGAACUACGAGCAUCAGCUUAAAACCCAAAGGACUUGGCGGUGCUUUAAACCCAUCUAGAGGAGCCUGUUCUAGAAUCGAUAAUCCCCGUUCAACCUCACCCCCCCUUGUUUUUCCCGCCUAUAUACCGCCGUCGUCAGCUUACCCUGUGAAGGUAAUAUAGUAAGCAAAGUUGAUAAAAUCUAAAACGUCAGGUCAAGGUGUAGCAUAUGGGGGAGGGAAGAAAUGGGCUACAUUCCCUGCCCCAGGGAACACGAAAGAUGAUAUGAAAUUCUCAUCCGAAGGAGGAUUUAGCAGUAAGUAGAAAGCAGAGAGUUCAACUGAAACCGGCCCUAAAGCGCGCACACACCGCCCGUCACUCUCCCCAAAACCCAUAAAUAGAUAACUAAUAAGUUUAUAAACCUUUAAGGGGAGGCAAGUCGUAACAUGGUAAGUGUACCGGAAGGUGUACUUGGAAGAAU